RNAcentral lists this ribosomal RNA (1673 nucleotides) under Escherichia coli. RNAcentral's name for it is "bacterial LSU rRNA". It matches the Rfam family "Bacterial large subunit ribosomal RNA", at positions 1272 to 2925 of the family's 2925-position model. The record is from RNAcentral. Lineage: Bacteria; Pseudomonadati; Pseudomonadota; Gammaproteobacteria; Enterobacterales; Enterobacteriaceae.
GCUGGAGGUAUCAGAAGUGCGAAUGCUGACAUAAGUAACGAUAAAGCGGGUGAAAAGCCCGCUCGCCGGAAGACCAAGGGUUCCUGUCCAACGUUAAUCGGGGCAGGGUGAGUCGACCCCUAAGGCGAGGCCGAAAGGCGUAGUCGAUGGGAAACAGGUUAAUAUUCCUGUACUUGGUGUUACUGCGAAGGGGGGACGGAGAAGGCUAUGUUGGCCGGGCGACGGUUGUCCCGGUUUAAGCGUGUAGGCUGGUUUUCCAGGCAAAUCCGGAAAAUCAAGGCUGAGGCGUGAUGACGAGGCACUACGGUGCUGAAGCAACAAAUGCCCUGCUUCCAGGAAAAGCCUCUAAGCAUCAGGUAACAUCAAAUCGUACCCCAAACCGACACAGGUGGUCAGGUAGAGAAUACCAAGGCGCUUGAGAGAACUCGGGUGAAGGAACUAGGCAAAAUGGUGCCGUAACUUCGGGAGAAGGCACGCUGAUAUGUAGGUGAAGUCCCUCGCGGAUGGAGCUGAAAUCAGUCGAAGAUACCAGCUGGCUGCAACUGUUUAUUAAAAACACAGCACUGUGCAAACACGAAAGUGGACGUAUACGGUGUGACGCCUGCCCGGUGCCGGAAGGUUAAUUGAUGGGGUCAGCGCAAGCGAAGCUCUUGAUCGAAGCCCCGGUAAACGGCGGCCGUAACUAUAACGGUCCUAAGGUAGCGAAAUUCCUUGUCGGGUAAGUUCCGACCUGCACGAAUGGCGUAAUGAUGGCCAGGCUGUCUCCACCCGAGACUCAGUGAAAUUGAACUCGCUGUGAAGAUGCAGUGUACCCGCGGCAAGACGGAAAGACCCCGUGAACCUUUACUAUAGCUUGACACUGAACAUUGAGCCUUGAUGUGUAGGAUAGGUGGGAGGCUUUGAAGUGUGGACGCCAGUCUGCAUGGAGCCGACCUUGAAAUACCACCCUUUAAUGUUUGAUGUUCUAACGUUGACCCGUGAUCCGGGUUGCGGACAGUGUCUGGUGGGUAGUUUGACUGGGGCGGUCUCCUCCUAAAGAGUAACGGAGGAGCACGAAGGUUGGCUAAUCCUGGUCGGACAUCAGGAGGUUAGUGCAAUGGCAUAAGCCAGCUUGACUGCGAGCGUGACGGCGCGAGCAGGUGCGAAAGCAGGUCAUAGUGAUCCGGUGGUUCUGAAUGGAAGGGCCAUCGCUCAACGGAUAAAAGGUACUCCGGGGAUAACAGGCUGAUACCGCCCAAGAGUUCAUAUCGACGGCGGUGUUUGGCACCUCGAUGUCGGCUCAUCACAUCCUGGGGCUGAAGUAGGUCCCAAGGGUAUGGCUGUUCGCCAUUUAAAGUGGUACGCGAGCUGGGUUUAGAACGUCGUGAGACAGUUCGGUCCCUAUCUGCCGUGGGCGCUGGAGAACUGAGGGGGGCUGCUCCUAGUACGAGAGGACCGGAGUGGACGCAUCACUGGUGUUCGGGUUGUCAUGCCAAUGGCACUGCCCGGUAGCUAAAUGCGGAAGAGAUAAGUGCUGAAAGCAUCUAAGCACGAAACUUGCCCCGAGAUGAGUUCUCCCUGACUCCUUGAGAGUCCUGAAGGAACGUUGAAGACGACGACGUUGAUAGGCCGGGUGUGUAAGCGCAGCGAUGCGUUGAGCUAACCGGUACUAAUGAACCGUGAGGCUUAACCUU